This 29958-nucleotide long non-coding RNA is filed under the name Lupinus angustifolius (narrow-leaved blue lupine). RNAcentral describes it as "long non-coding RNA (LANG_LNC000344)". Lineage: Eukaryota; Viridiplantae; Streptophyta; Magnoliopsida; Fabales; Fabaceae. The record is from RNAcentral.
GAAAAUGAAGUAAGUUAAUGGAGUUUGGUAUGGUGUUUUAAAUGUCUAAACAACGCAAAAAACCAUUAAAAACGGGUCGCAGUUGAAUCCUCUGCUAAGAACUCAGAUACACUGUCCCAUUACCAUUAACAUACGAAAUCACAGAGCAUUGUAAGAAUUAUUCAGUAGUUGAUAUUUAAUACGUGGUUCCAUCAACAUAUUGUGUUAACGGUAUAUUAAAUUGGGUUAUUCGUAUAAGACUCUACUUGAUCUUAGGACAACCAAAAUGUCAAUGAUUCAUUUGAUUUUUGAGAACGUCAUGUGUUGAAAUGAACAGUUGUAUGAAUAAUUCUUCCUACAAGGUGGAGGGAUAUAUUUGGUAGUACAAAAAAAUAUAAUCUUCAAAUAUGUCUAAGAACAUUAUAGUUGAUGAAUGAAGUACACCAAAAAUUAAAAAAAUAGCCCCCAUAGUAAAAAUUUAAAAUUUCAUUCUUAAUCAUGGCCAAGCAAAAUGGGACACAUAACAUCAACAAUAAAUCAAUCACAGAAUGAAAACGCAAAAUCAGAGGUUUCAUUAGCAUAUUAUUCUAAGUAACCAGUAACUUAAAAAACAUAACCCAAAUCGCAGAAACACUUUCAUCUUAACUUGAUUCAUCAAUUGAGUUCUGUGCUAUCAUAUAUGCUUUUAAUCUUUCUGUGACACCUUGUUUUGUUCUCCAACUUGUAGUUUCCUUCAGAGGUGGAAAACAAACGUGUGAAAAAUUGAACUAUUUCUUCAAACAUCAUUCUCUUCACUGAUUUCCUAGGUGCUGGAAUCACAGUUGCAUUCAUCUUAUAGUUGCAUAGGUUGUUCUUCACCUGUUUCUUCACCACUACAUUCUGGUUCACUUCCUUAGCCAUGGCCACCAUAUUUUGUUAAGCUUCAAAGGUUUAUCUUUUCUAUCUGAGAUUCUCUCCUUGUUUUUCUUUGUAUAUGAAUCUGGUGAAUGAUAUGGCACAUAUUUAUAAUCAUUUGUAAAGUAGAGAAAAUUUCAUUACCCAUUUCCUUUUCUGUCUCUUUCUUACUUAUCGAGAGAAUGUAUAAAGACAAGUGUACUAGUUUAACUAAAAAGGAAUAAAAGUAACUUGUUGUAUUCCUUCUUCAUUAUUGAUCUUUUUAGUAUGGUCGGCUAAAAUUAAGAAAUUCAAUAAAGAAUUUGAUAUUUCCAUAAGAGAUAUUAAAGUGUUUAUUGACAUUAUAACAAAAUGUCUCAUUCCUUAUUCUGAAAAUAAUACUUUAAUAAAUAAUAUAAAAAUAUUAAUUUUUCUUUUUGAAAAUGUUCUUUUAUUUAUAUAAUGAUAAUAUGUAAUUGAUUCAGGAUAUAUCAAAUCUCUAUUCAUUGAGCCUACCUUAGAGACUAGAGAAUAAUAUGAGUGAGACUUCUCUCCAUUAAUAGAAAGGCAAAUAGUGUAUAAAAGUAAACAAAAAGUUCACAUAUAUUGACACUUAUAUCUUUUUUAUGUGUAAUGAUAUUACACUUCUACUCUUAAAAUACAAAUGAAAAAGUCAUUUGUCUCUCCAUUACUUGAGAGAAGUCUCACUCAAAUAAACAUGUCUCUCACCAGCCUAUUAUUACAAGUUCUUUGACUGCUAUUUGUCGGUUUUCUUUCCCAUUACUUAGCAAAAGAAAGUCUCACAUUUUAAGGUAUAAAACAUUAUCAUUAUCUCCCCAACAAUUAGAUAUCGGGCAAGGACCCAGUUGCAAGAUCAAAACUCUACCAACUAAGCUAUAUCUAUACUUUUAUGCAAAUUAAAAUAUUUAUAUUAUAUCUGAUGUAUACAACAUUGUUUAUAUUUAAUUGUAAAUCAUUAACAUAAAUAUUUUUUUCAAAUAAACAACAUAUUUUAUUCAAAAUGAAUAAUAUUUAAAAUUAAAAAAAAUGCAAUAACUUUUACAACCUUAGUAAACUUUAUUCCGCUCAAAGUCUAUCAGCAUUAAUCCCGGUGCCUUUUGCAAAUCACAGUCUAAGUUUUAUAGCUUUUAGAAUUGGUUGUGAGUUGAAAAGUAAGAUUUCAAAGAAUAUGUUUUAUGCGCUCCAAAUGUUUAUAUAUAUAUAUAUAUAUAUAUAUAUAUAGGGAGUUAAGAAUAAUUCUCAUAUAAAAAUUGUAAUAAAAAUAAAUCAGGACUUUACGACUAAUCAUUGAUGGUUAUGAUUUAUAGAGUAAAAUUAUGAUUUAGGUAAUUUAUAUUUAAUCAUUAGUUAAUAAUAAAAUAUUAAAAGAGUUUGAUUAAGUGGUUAAGAUGAAGAAUUUAAACAAUUAUGUGAUAAGAAAGUUUACUAUUGAAAUUUCACUUACCAAAAGAUGAUUACAUUUAAAGAAUGAGAUAUUAAAUAUUUUAAAUAUUCAAUAACUCUUAUUUUCCAAAUCAGGAAUGAUCAUAGUGUUUUGUUGAUAACUUUUACUUUUGAGUUCAAUUACUAAGUUUUUGAAGAAAUUCAGCAUAUUAUUUUAAUUUUAAAUAUAGUAUUAAAUUAAACAAUAUAUAUAGUUUAUCUUAAAAUAACAUAUUUAUAUCUAUGCUAAAAAUAUAUUAUUAAAAAUAAAAAUUAAUUUUUUUAUUAAGCUUCAUAUAAUAUGAAUACAAUAUUUCACAUUAAAGUAAAAGUAUACUAUCAAUACAAUGUCAAUAUAAAAUUAUACUAUAUUAUAUAUUAUUUAUUUAUUUCAGUAUUUUGAAGAAUCAAUGCACUAAUAAUUAAUGAUGCAGCAAUGGUUGAAUUUCAGGGCAUUUGGUGGGCCCAAUGGGCUCUGAUUUGGAAUUUUGGUUAAGAUUGAAGGGGUCCGGUGUUUGGGUUAUACGUAUGUUGAAGUUGGAAAGAGAAGAGUAUAGAAUAUAGAGAGAAGGUAGAAAAUGAAAGUGACAUGGAAGAACAAGAAGAAGAAGCGGUGUUUGUUACCGUUACCACUAUUCAAUGAUAAAGAAACUGAUGAAGUGAAUGUUCCCAAUACACAACAACCUCAGCAACAGAAUCAAUCGGAGUUUGAGGAAACAAGACAUUUAGCUAAGGAAUUUCAAGCUCAAGGAGACAACCUUGCUCUGGUAUCUUAUGUUUUGUCUCAUAAAUUCAAUGAUUACAUAAAAAUCAUUUUUUUAUGAUCAUGGGUCAAAAUUAAUCACUUUUUUGCAUUACUACUUUUCCUCAAGGUUGAUGGGGAAAUAUUAUGUAUUUUACAUUGUUUAUCAUAUGCCUUACUUCAUAUAAUUCUAUUCCAGUGAAGAAUUAGAGUAUGGAAAUUGCACAUCCAAUACAAGGUACUUGAAAGUUAGUGAUAUGUGUUAGAUAAGUUUAGGUUUAGCUACCAAUUUUCUUUUUGUUCAAGCUUGAAAAAGUGAUUUUAACAUUCUAAAAACAAUGUUAUUUUGAUUUUAUAUUUUUUAUGUAAAUCAGAAGCCUAUAUAUAUAUGUAUAUGUAUAUGUAUGUAACUACAAUUAACGAAGUGCUUUUUUACAUUCUCUCCUCUUUUGCUGGAGCCUUUUUAGCUGAAGGGAUAGCUUUUCACAAAAUCUGAAUUUCAGUUUUUUUUCAACUACUGCUUCUUAGUAAAAGCCCAACCGACGAAACAUUUAAGUAUGAGCAAAUAAUCACUUUCAUUUGUGAAAUAUACUUCAACAAACAGGCCCUGAAGCUGCCCUAUCUUGAUUACUUAUCUAUUUUAAACAAGAAAAUUACGGGAAUUUUCUGUAAUUUGGGAUAACAUGGAUAGUUAAGACAAAGUAGGAUUUGAGUGCAAAAUGUUUGGUGAAUUUGAUGUCUGAUAAGUAGGGCCUCAAUUUCUUUCUGCUUCUGGGUUCAUCUAGUCAACUGAAAUUUUGGGAUUAAAGGCUUGCUAUUGCUGUAGUUACUUCCAUUUUGUUCAUUGUUGUAAUUCGGAAUUUCUUUCUAAAUUCUGAGAUAUUUCAUACCAUGACAUUUGGUUUCAGAUGAACUUCUGCAAUUUGGAUUUAAUAUCUUUUGUUUGGCUAUCUUAGAUAUAUUCCAAGUUGAAUUUAUUUCUCUAAUUCUAUUACUCAUGGCAUGGUCAGACACAUGAUUAUAGAAGUGGCAUGCAAUAUGUCCUUGUUCUAGUCGGCAUUUUGUUCUUGAGUGACGUUGAUUCUCCUCAUUGCGGGUUUUGUUCAUGGAAUCAAUAUUGCAAACAGCUUACUGCCUUUCUUUCUUGCAGAAUGGGAAGUACCGAGAGGCAUUGGGUAAAUGGGAAACAGCUAUUACUUUGGCACCUGAUUUUGCAGUUUUACAUGAACAAAAGUCCCAAGUUUUACUAGAAAUUGGAGAUGCUUGGAAUGCUUUAAAGGCUGCAACUCGUAUGUUCGUGUGCUAUAUUCUUCUUUAUCGUGUUCAUUUCAUGUAUACAAAUGAAAUGCUAAAUUCAUAAAAUAAGUAUAACAAAUGGACUGUUCAUUGAUGUAUCAUUAAUAUUAUCUAAUCACUUUUUUAUCGUAAUAAGUCCUUGUUCUCAGUGACAAGUUUAUGAAAUUCCCCUUUCCUGUAUGAACAUUCUAUUCAGUAGUAUAUGAUGAAUUUAACUCUAGCAAGGCCAAAAAAGUAGUUCAGUUCUGGGUCAAUUUCUAUACUUACAUAUGUUCCGGGUUUUUCUGUCGAUGCUUGUUAUACAAUUUCAAUUGUUUGUGGCCCAGUGCUUGAAAUAUGUUAUGAUCUUUACUUGUCAGGAGCUACUGAAUUGGAACCAUCGUGGGCUGAGGUAAGGCCUUUGCAUAUGCCUUGUAAAAUGCAGUUACAAUUUUUGGAAUUUUUCCUUCCAACUCAAGGUAGUUCUUUGUAUCACUUUUAUGCUACAAAUUUGUUGAGUACUCUCAAUUAGUAAUUAUGUCCAAGGAAAUAUAUAAUCGUAGUUUAAUACUGGAUAAAUGACAUUUGAAAGAUUCUCUUCAGAAACUACUCAAAUUGAUUCGGAAACGUUCACCUAUAUAUGUGAUCUAUUUCAUGCAUAUUAUUGGGUUUCCUCAUGAAGAUCUCUUAUUGUUAGCAAUAAGGGUGAAUCAUUGGCUAACCUGCAUUGUUUUACUCUGUACAAAAAUAACUAGUACUGCAGUGAUGUCUAUGCUUAAUAGUGAUACGGGUGGACCUAAUGCUAGAAAGGAAUUAGCAUUACAAUUCGUAGUUACCAGACUCUGAAUCUUGUUGGACAUUUCUUCUGUUUAACAUUGACUGCUCUAGCUUUAACUUGCAAAUGCUUGGUUGAUUCACCCUCGACCUCUUUGAUACUUAUAUAUUUUGUUCAUGUUAGAUUUGACAUAUAGUCAUUCUGCUUAUAUUUUGAUACCAAAUCCUUUGCGAAUUGUGUUAAUAGGACUUAUAAAGCAGCAGUAAUCUUAUUUAGAUAAUAUGCUAUAGAAUAAUUAUGGAUUGCCAAUGAUCAAGCACAUGUCGGUGUCCGACACGUAUCUGACACAGAUACGCUCGGAUUCGCGAAAGAUAUGUAUCCAUAGAGUAUCCAAAAAUUAAAAAAAUAAAUAUUAAGACACGUAUUCGAUUCGUUUUCAAUAAAAUAUUGGAUAUAUGGGUUCGUUUUCAGUAAAGUAUAGGAUAUAUAGAUUCGUUUAUAAUGAAACAGGAUAAGAUAGAUUCGUUUCCAAUAAAACAGGAUAAAAUAGAUUCAUUUCCAAUAAAACAUGAUAACAUAGAUUCGUUUUCAUUAAAAUAGAAUAAAAUAGAUUUGGUAUGGAGGGCAGUAAUUUUAAAUUUCCAUAUUUUUUACUUUGGAUAUUUUGAUUUACACUUAUAAUUUUAUCAUAUUUUAUGUGUUUUUAUUAUUUUAUACGCGUAUCCCUGAACGUAUCGUAUCCUGUAUUUUGGAAAAAAAUAUGUGUCGACGUGUCGGAUACGUAUCGUACCCGACACACGUAUCAGUAUCCGUGCUCAUAGAUCAAGCCUUCUAGAGUCUUGAGCAGUACUGGGUCAUUUUAAACUCUACAAAUUGAUGUAUUUAUUUCAAUAAUGAACCUUCCAGGCAUGGGUCACACUUGGCAGAGCACAGCUGAAUUUUGGUGAGCCAGAUAACGCUAUUGAAAGCUUCGACCGAGCUUUAGCCCUCAAGGUUAGUCUUCAUGAUUUUUCGGUAGCUGUUUACUUAAAUCCUCUAAUCAGCAUUCAGUUUGUAUGAGCAUUCGGGAUUAUAAGUUGAACCUCCAAUCUUUCAAUCUAUUUCCAGUUUUAUACUUCAACAAAGUUAACUUUUUUGUGCAGCCUGAUUAUGAGGAAGCUCUAGGUGAUAGAAAAGCUGCAUCAAAUCUUGUAAAGAAGAGAAAGCAACUUCACUCAUCAGGCUUGAGUUCCACUGAAAAUCGUUAUGUGGUAGGAGACAAGAAUGAAAGCUCAUGAAAAUAUACAACAGGAGAUAAAGUUAUCCAAAUACUCCUAUGUAAUGUAAUAUUUGAUGGUAUCAGUUUCUGUAGAGAGAGAAAUUUUAAGGUGUAUAUUGUCAGCUUCUCAAUGGUCAUAAAGUUUAUAGGGGUGUACCUAUUUGCAAGAUAUUUAUUUAGAUAUGAAGAAAUGAUAUAUAAGGGUCUGUUUACGAGUUGAGUUUGGAAGGGAAUAAAGGAAAAUGGGAGACUUCAAAACCAUCUUACGCACAAGUGUAUUUCAUAUUCUUAAGCCUCUAAUUUUCCUUCUAAACCCCAGCUCGCACACGAACCCUAAAUGUGCAAACAACUUUCAUGGUGUAAGCUAAGAGUAUAUCGUAACCUCCUCUAAUAGUAAAUGUGAAAAAACCAUUGAGAUACAACCAACCACAUGGGAACUAACACAACACCUUAACUUUCGUUGCAUGGAUAUGGGUAUGAGAAACAUUAUUCUCUAAAAAAUUAGAGUACAUAUGUUAAUACAUGUCAUUUUUUAAAUUAUAUAUAGUAGGAAAAUAAAGUAGUUAGAUCACCUUUAUUUAGAAAAAAACUAGCAAAAUUGGUUUGGAUGCUUUUUUUAAUUCAGCAGAAGAUUAUAAACUUUAAAAGUACUUAGAUCCCUUAAAAUUAAAUAUUAUUUGAAUAUGAAAAUUCAAUACUGAAAAAUUACAUUUGCCUUGAAGAUAAAUAUAGUGGAUUUCAACACACCAUAGUGUGGAUUUUGGACACAUAAUUUGUAUAUCUAAAAUCACUUAUUUUCUAAGAAACAAUCGCCGCCUUAUAUUGCAGAUUCAAUCACUUUUGUAUAAUGUAUAUUCUGAGGUAGUUCACUCUUGUUACAAUUUUUUUUAUUUACAAAUUCACCAUAGUCCACUACUUGUAACAAUGAUACACAGAUUGUUGCCACUCUUUAUGUGCAUUCACUACACAAUCACCCAGGCUUUAUAAUAAUUUUGUAAAUUUCAAUUGAGAAAGUGGAUCAAAACUAAUAUAUUUAAUUAGAGACAUGAUUAGUUUUUUAUACAGCAAUAUGUGAUAUGUAAUAUCCUACUAAUGGCUAUUGCUUCAAGUAGAAAUGGAUUUCGUUCUCCUUGGGCAAUAUCCCAAAUUCAAGUUUCAGUGAAUAAAAAAAUAAACAUUGGAAAAGUUUUGACUUCUUAAAUGAGUUGUUGAGCUCAAAAUGUGAUUUAUAGACAUGGAAAGUAUAAAAAAAGUAAAAUUCUAAAUUGUGUUUGCCUGCAAAUACUAAUAAAAUUCAAGAAAUUUCAAUUGCAGCAAAUAGUAUCUGACCUGCUUAUUGUCACAAAGAAAUCAGACAUUACAAUUUCACAUUUAAGUAUCAACCACAUCUAUUACAAUAGUAUCUGACCUGCUUAUUGUCACAAAGUGCACUUAUCAGUCUACGUUGAUGCUUUGUACUGUGUCUUUCUGUAGUUCUAUCUUUGGUCUUUCAAUGUCAUGUAUCCAAAAGUCAACAAAAUCUACCAUAGUUUUACAUCCUAACAAAAUUAGUAAUCAGAACCAAAAACACAUGCAAUAUGCCAUUAGGUAUUAGCAGUUAAAACUUAAAAAGUAUGCUAAAAAAAGCUCAAGUUCUCUUUGAUUGAGUCUGGGUUUCAGUUAAGUUCUCUUCAAAAUUCAAAGUAUUGGCUGCAGUUAAAAGCAUGUCCAUUCCUCCCACUACUUCCCGUCCUCGUUUAUUGCACCAUAUCUUAUCAUUUGGCUUCGAAACAUUUUCAUCCGUUUUACAGUUCUUACUCUCGUAUGCCUUUUUUGCUCGGCGUAUUGCUUGGAUCCCUGCAUCGCAUUUUCUGCAGAACCAUUUCCCUUUUGGAACAGAAGUUCGUGGAGGUUUCAUGCAAUAGAUGUGGUAUGCAUGAUCACAGCUAUCACAGAGAACAAUCUUAUCAUCAUCUUGAUCAGUGAGGCAAACUCGGCAUAAACAAGAAGGGCAGUACCAACAUUGAGCAUACAACUUCAUCUGCUUACUUGACAAACACCUUACAUGGUAGUAUUUACUGGGGCAAAACGGGUGACCACAUAUUUUCAUUUUUUCACCAUCCACCACUUCUCGACAAAUUUUGCAAUCAGGUGAGUCUCCCCCACCUAUGGACACUUGAAUUCCAUCAUCAUGAGUACCAUUUGAAUUCUCUUCCAUCUCCUUCAGUGUUUCCUCAUCUGUAGGGAUGUUUUCCAUACCAACAUCGUUGUUCAGGGCCUCCGGGACGUUCAACCUUUCACACACCACACACUUCUCAUGUGGACAUCCAAUUUCUUUAUCAGAACAAUUCGCACAGAACCAGCUUUUUUGGGGUAUUUCUUUCACAGCAGGCUCAAUACAGGGAACGUGGUACAUCUCCUCACAUGAAUCACAAACCAAACAAUCCGUCCCAUCUGCCUUCUUUCCACAAUGCCUGCAAAUGCAAGUUUUAUAUGUAGCACAUUCUUCUGUCUGCUCUGGUUUUAUUUGAGUGUUGGAUUCCCAAUUAUAUAACUGUUAGACAUGACAAAAUGAAAACAAUUCUUAGGACCAGUUUAUAAAUCUCAAGAUCAAAUUCUUUAAGCAUUUGUUAGUGAUCCAACAAAAUGAAAGGGCAAAGCUUUUCAAGGAUAAACAGGUCUUGUGCAUUGCUGAUAGUGAAAACUUGGAAAGCCUAGAAAGAUAAUAGACAUGAUAUUCAGACUAUGAAAAGGCUUAAAAAUCAAACAAAUCCUUGCCCACCUGAUUCUAUCAAAUUCUCUGGUGCCAGAGGAAAAAUUAAAUACGCCCUUCAUGUCUUUUCCCUCUCAAUCAGAGGAAAAUAAUGUUUUCACAGUAAGUAAAAAGAAUUUCCAAACAUAGGGAUUUCACUCUUUGCUUUUAGAUGUAAGACACAUUUAACUACAUCAACAACAAUCAAAGAGAUGUCCCACUAGAUGGGUCAAACAACGCCACUACGUCCCAUCAAAAAUCAAAUAUUCUGAAAGGUCAUUUAGAUAAAAAAAUAAGCAAGAAGGGGAAAAAUUAUCUCAGAUAAUCAGAACAAUAUGUCUGUUAGCAUUUGUCUCUAUCAGAGUAGCUAGAUGGUGCAAAGGAGAAAGGGGUUACAAUUCUUCGAUUCUUUUUUUAUUUUAUAUUUUAGGCCCACAACCUGGUAUGUAAGGGGAGAAAGCAAGCCAAAGUUAACAUCAAGCAGCUGCAACGGGGAUGAACCUGAUCAAGUAGAACCCGAAGAGACUUUAUGCCACUUGAGCUAAGACUCUUUGGUUUUUGCUCAAUUUAAUUUCUUUUUUUCGUUGCAAAAUUGAAGCAUAGCUAUUCUUUAUUCCCAAAAAAAUAUAUCAGGAAAUAUGCAUUUAUUACUCUAAUUCAAAGUUACAAGUAUUUUGUAAUACACAAACUGUAUCUUUUGCUAUUAUGAUUCAAGCAAUACUGUUUACAAUACAUAUUGCAUAGACUAGUAGUAGAGGUAUAAGAGGAAAGGACAUCUAGGUUAAAACUUUUAUCAGAAUAUGUAGAUCAAAGUUCCGCUAAGAUGACAUAUACAUGCCCAGUUCGUGAAAUCUUAGAAUCCAAUUUUAAUUAUCUUACCGCUUCCUUUUCAUCUUCGAAUGAGCAGUUUGCUGGAACUCCAACCUGAAGGGAAGAAAAACUGUGGUUCACAAAAAAAUCCAAAAGCAAAGAAAAAAAUAUGGAACCUAAGCACUUCGAGAAAUAAUUACAAGGGUUUGCCUUACCUUCUCACAGUAGGAAGCUUUUGACAUGUUCGAGAGACUUUUGGUAAUAGCAACGAUCUCAUUUCCAGCAUCUUGAAGCUUUCUCCAAACCUAAAAACAUCAAUAAGAAUACAUCAUAUAAAAUGAGAACCAGAAAAUAAAUUUUCCUGUCAUCUGCUCGAAGGCUAGAAAUUAAUAAGGACACUCAGAAUUACCCUCACGUGAUACACUAGUGAACCAGAUACGAUUUCAUCUUGAAGCGAGAAACGAGAAGCCAAAGUUAUAUAUAAAUAACAACAAACAUCAGAGGAGCAAUAGUUAAAAGAAAUAACAUAAGAUGCCCAAAAGCCCAAAACCACUUAACAUCAUGAUACUUGGGUAAACUGGAUAUUAAAUCAUCUAAAAUUUUCAAUUUUUCUCCAGCAAAAUCAUAUAGCCACGUAAAAAAUGUUUAAUUGUAGAGAGGCUAUUAAAAAUUUACCUGUUCAAUAUCUGACAAGAAAAGUGCAGGUGAAUCUUCAUAAGCUUGUUCUUUCAUCCUCGUGUUUAUGACAUUAAAGUCAAAUACCCUUUCAAGUUUGAUUCCUUGGAAAUUUUCAUGUAGCACCUUACAUAAUGAACUGAAUUUUUCAGAGGUUAAGAUAUUACAUAACACACGUUCACACCUCUCAGUACCACCAGGAGCAACUGGUUUACUAGAGCAUCCAUUAUGCAUGAUAUUUGCAUGUCCAUUAGUUUCAUUCUGUAAUCUAUGAGACAAUAACUCAGAUUGGGAGGAGCAUUCUUGACCAUCUUUGUUAUUUUUUAAAAUUUCCUGCAAAAAAAAGAUGGAAUAUAAAAUGAAAGAAACAAAAGAGAUUUAGGGCAGGUCAUAUAAGCAGAAAUAAUUAGUUCUCUCUGUAAAACAUACUGUAAAUGUAGGGGCACAACUGAAUUUGGGAUUGUUCAUGAGUGCUUCCCUUACGGACCCCUCUAUGCUGCCAUUGCUACCACCUAUUGAAUGAUAUAAAUGGUUUAGCACAACUUCUACCCAAUGUCCAUGUGAAUAAUCUUUUGAAGUAUUGCCUACAGCUAAAUCACAUGGUUUCUUCACAGCCUGCAAAAUAAGAAAAUUUCAAAUAUAGCAUUAUAGAAUGAAACAAAUAAGAGUGUUCAAUAUUUUCCUUGGCAUCAUCUAUGGGCCGAGUUCAGAAUCAUCUCAUGCUAAAUUGUGAAGCACAAAUCAAGAUAUCACAUCAGUCAAAUACAAAUAUAGAAGCACAAACGAUGAAGGCCAAGCAAGGUAAUGUACAGACAAAUUCAAAUCCUGUCAGCUGAACUACUUACAUCAAAAAGAAUAAAUGAUUAUUAGUAUAUGAUUUUUCUAUAGAAUUAUAAAUAUGUACAAUUACAAGCAGGAAAAUAAUUGUAUCUCCGUUUCUUCCCCUUAACUGACAUAAAUUUUAAGGUUCUGCUUGUAAAAAUAAACUCAGCCUUUAGAUCAAACAUGUUAAAACAUACCAAUGCUAGCAUUUUCCCUGGAACCUGAAUGUUAUAUUGUACCCUUGUCAACAGCAUCAUUGACUCAUGGCAUUCAUUUAUAAAGUAAACAAAUUAUCUGCCAAUUACAAUAAAGUUCAACUGAAUCUGCUAUCAAAAUAUCCAAAAAUCCAUAUAAACUGCUUUUCAAGCCUUUUAAAAACACAGAACAUAGGUUGCAACUCAGAUCCAUUGAUGCACAAUAAUAAAUCUUGGAUUUUACCAUUGUCAAUAACAUCAUUGUCUAUCAUUGCAUUCUAUGAUAAACACAGCAAAUUAGCCCCCUAUUACAACAAAGUUCAAAAGAAUCUGCUAUGCAGUAUUAAAAAAAUCCAAGACUAUAUAAGUUGUUUUUCCAGUACAUUGUAAAUCUUCAUUCAACAGUGCAAAAAUGAAGAUACAUGAGGAUCUAUUGUUAGAAAUGCGCAAUAGCAAUGCCAAACACAAUUUUAUAAAAUAGUCAUGUCUUGUCAUUGGUGUUUUAAUACAUGAUCCAUGACCAAUAAAAUCAAGUACAUCCUUUCUCUAGUGUCUUAACUUUGAAGUAUGCUGUGUAUAAGUUGUAACUUAACUCAUUUUGCACAUAAUAAAUUUUAACUUAAAAUGAAUUUGAUGCAGAAUCACAUGCUCUUAAGAACAGCAUUAACAUAAAAAAAUGAUGCUCCAAAUUCUUUUAAGUGAGGAUGUUCUCAUCAUCGUAUUCACAUAUUUAACUGGCAGUAACCCAAAGCUACCAAAUUGUGAAUAAAAUGCAGUUCAAUGUGGGGUUAGUUAGAUUAUUCUUACAAGCAGAAAAAACAUGCUUACUGAAAUUAAGAUAAAACAGGUAUGACAAAUCUAUAUCCAUAAAGCAUAAACAAGUUAAGAGCACAAAAUAAAAACAAUAAUAGCAUUUGUUUUUCCUUAUACUUAAACAAUAGAACUUUUCCAGUUUAUUAUCAAAUAUUUUAUAAAAACUCGCUACCAUGGAUUUAGAAACCUAUUUAAGAAAUCAAAAAACCUAUUUAAAACAGCAAUAAAAUAACAUACAAAGACAUUAUUCCCCCACAGUCAACAAUUUUUCCCUCUUUAUGACAAACAACUAUAAACUGUUACAAAUGGAAUCCAAUUCAAAAACAAAAAAACACCCUUAAUAUCAACUCUCUCGCAAGUUACUCCAUAAACUACAAGUUGUCGCAUGGCACAUGUUUAUAUAAGAAGCAAUUUAUCACUUUCCUAGGUUUCAUGUGUGCCUACAUGAACUAGAAUAUCUAGCACCUUGCACCUACAUUCUUACUAUAUAAAUAUAAUACAUAACAUACAAAAUUCAUCUUGUAGAUUAACAAGCAACAGCUGGCAAGUGACAACCGAAAGCCAUCACGGAUACAAAAUUACAGAUGCUGCAAAAGGGGUAGAGGAAACCUGGUCUGAUAAGCGACUUGCAGCUUCCACACGUCCUUUGCUGACUUCCUGAACCUUGCUUUCUGAAAUCGAUUUUACAUGCUUACGCCUCUUAUAAGUUCGCAAAUAUACAACUCCAGUAGAGUCCCCCUCAGCAAUACCUUUCCCCUUAGUAAUUUCCACUCCAUUACUAACAGUUCGGCUCUUCAAGUACCGAACAUCUUUUCCUUUAGAAACACUGUUCCCAUCAGCAAUCACUACUCCAUUAUUUACAGUUCCAUUCUUCAAACACGGGACCUCUUUACCUUCAGCAACACCAUUCCCAUCAGCAAUUGCCACUCCAUUAUUUACAGUUUCAUUCUUCAAGCAUUGAACCUUAUUCUCAUCUUCAGUUCCCACCACAUUAUCCACAGCUUCUUUCUUCAAGCACCGAAUCUCAUUCCCUUCUUCAAGUGCCAUCCCUUUAUUUACACUCUCCAUUUCCAAACAUCGAUCCCGAUCAACAUGCUUUGGAUUUUUGGCAUUGACAGUUUCUUCUUCAGUAUCCAUUAAAAGAAGUAACCUUGAUUUUCAGCAGAAAAUUAGGGUUUCACAGCAAACAGAUCCAAAAUUUCUCAAGACUUGUUGUUAAGCACCUUAACAAAGCAAUAACACUGAAAACCCAAAAGAACAUGGUUAUCAAUUUCAUACAGUUUAAGCUAAAACACACAGUCCCCUCAUUUCAGCGCAAAAACAAAAGAAAGAAAAAAGAAAAAAAUGCAAUUUUGAGCAAUGAAAUGUAUGUAGUUUAGGACUCUUACAAAUAGAAAAGUGAUUUGAACCUAACACCAAGAUGCUAUGGAGGCACAAAAUUGAGUAAAUAAUUAAAUAUGCACAUGCCAGAUUUUGUUUUAACAUUCGUUAUUAUUUGAGCAUCGAAGAGAUGAGUGAGUGAGAAAUGAAAGAGAAAUAAUAGGGAAAAGAGAGAGAAAGAAGAGGGAACUUACAGUGAUAGUUAAGUAAUGGAAAUGGAGAGAAAAUAGAAGAUGGUGAAGUUCUAUUUUGUAGAUGCAGAGUGCAGUUGCAGAAGAAACUCCUUUUUCUUUCUCUCUCUAAAACUCUAUCGUUUGGCGUUUUAUCUGAAAAGAAUUUCAAACACCGGUCAUUUGUUUUUUCCUUCUUUAGUCUCCAGGUCUUGUGUUUUCUCCUCGAUUGUAUUUAUAAGGUGUAUAACGAAACGAAUCAACUCGAUAUUUAUUUGAAAUAAACAAAUCUAAUCGGGGUUAAGUAAGUAUACAAGUUCAUAAGCUGACUCGAUUAUAUAUACAUAUAGAGAGCUUCUUGGUUUAUACAUAUAGACUUUGAACUUAAGAACGAUAUCAAUCGAGCUAAUGAGUUAAAGUAAACAUUUCGCAAACUCCUAACGAAUUAAACCUAUUUUGGGUUGAUGGUAAAUCAAAAUGAAUAGUUCAUGAACUCAAAUUGAAUCAAGCAAGAAAACUAGCUUAUAUUAAAAUCUAGUGGAAAUUUGAGUUGAAUCAAUUCUUAUCGAGCUGAACAUGUCAGCUUGGUUAGGCUCGUUUAUAGAACCACCAAAUAAGUCUAAAAACAUCAAUCUCCCACAUAGUAGCCUAUGUGCCUCCACCACUCAAACAUCUAUAUUAAUUAUAGGACAAAGAGAUUUAAUUUUUUUUACAACAUAACCUAUAAGAUGGACUGAGAUUGUUAGGAAUAGACCUAUCUUUGAAAAGAAAAAUGUAACUUUGGUUUGUUGGAGCCACAUUGCUGGCAGUAAAUGAGAUUUCAGGUAGACUACCAUCUUCUGGUUGCAUGAGCCAAUAUAUGGUCUCUUAGUUAUUAAUACAAUUGAACAAUUCAGAAGCACUUUUCAUAUCUUAAUAUCUUCUAGUUUGCAUAGGUACCCUCAGCUACAUCAUUAUGAGAAUUCACCCAUUCCAUUGCAGUUUCAUGAUGCAUGAGAUAUUACACCAUUGCCUGAUAGAAAUAAAUAAUUUGUCAAACACUUACAAUGGGAGGUACAGAUUGAGAAAGAAAUACAUCUUAUUAACUUUGAAUCCUAACAUCAUGAUCUCAACUGUUCUCAUGCAUGGUGACAGGAGAGUGAGUCGGGCAGUAGCUGGCUCGGGGUGUUCUGGUUGGGUUGAGCUGAGUCUGGGUCGGUAGUGGUCGGGCUGGAAUGCUUUCUGGAGUCGCCUGAGUUGAGCUUGGACCUGUUGGUGGAGGUACGUGAAAAGGUGAUCCGGAGAUCAAGUUAGUAAGUGACUGAGGGAGAGAAUAAUAGCUCAAGGUAUGAGCAAUAAGUAUGUGUUAAUGUCAAGAGAUAGAGAACAUGGUCUAAGAUAUGAGAAUAAGUAAUAUUUCCUUAUGGGGUGAGUCCCCUAUUUAUAGUGGGGGAUAUAUGUAAUAUUCUUUGACUGGUGUUGUUGGCAUGACCGACCAUUGGGACUUGUCGGUCUGUUCUGGCUUAUUAGGAGGCUACUUUAUACUUGUCGGGUGGCCCACCCAUACCGUAUUCUGAGUAUGGUUGACUGAUAGCUUGUUCUAGGCUUUGUAGCUGUAGUUUAAGCAUGUCCUUGCUGUAGAGUAGGGAGUUAGCUGAGAACUACAUGUGACAUGUAACAAGUGUCGACAGCGUGACAAAUGGAUGACAGAGGUUUGGUCCCAUUACUCACUCGUGGGAUGGUAUUGGGUAAGAUAUGUCUCCUAGUAGUUCGAUUGGUUGGCUCGUACCAUGGACCCUUGUAACAUAAGUUCUUGUCAGGUAUUCAGGCUUGCUCAGCCUUGAGUAAUCCAACCCGGUCAAAGGGGAAGUUGUUUGACCAUGAUGGAGCACAACUCAAAUAGGUAACACUAAACUAUAUAUAUUCACAUAUCACCUUUAACAAUCACUAAGGAGCAUAACAUGUAUGUUUGUAUAGAACAGUAAUCAGUAAUCAAAAAGUGGUAUCAAUCCCAAAACCAGUUGGUAUCAGUCCCAAAACCAGUUCAAAUUCAUAAUAGCAUAAAACAAUGUGAAUGCUAAAUAUAGGUUAAAACUGUUUCAACCAAUUUCUAGAUGUUAUAUAUUAUAUUCAGGUUCAUUGUUAUUAAGUGCACCAAAUAGAAGCACCAAAUAGAAACAACUCAUGGGCACUUAGGCCCAUGAGUGUGGUAGAGCUUGUAAUCAUUAUUCUAUAAUAAUAUCAAUGCUCCUGGGAAGUAGACACAAUUGACCGAACCUCGUUACCAAAUUCUUUUGUUUCUUUUCUUCUAUUUAUUCUAUGCACUCUAUUUGUCUGCUGCACCAACAAUUGAUAUCAGAGCUAAUUGGUAGAUGGCUCUUAACCUAGGCACCAAAUUAUGGCUAAAGAGGGUGAAAGCAUGUUGAUUGGACAAGGUCUAUUAAAGGUAAUGCACGAGGAUAAAGUCAAAGAUGAGUUGAAGGAGAAGGAAACAUGGUGGGACCAUAGUUGUGUUGGAUCCAGCACCACAGAAGUCCACGUAUUGGAUUGAGACCAAGAUGAAGAUAAAGACAAAGGUGAUUGGUUAGAUGCUAACAAUAUCUCUCUAGAUGUUGAGAGAAUGAUCUCGUUUGAGAUGAAAAGUGGAAUUCCUAAUGGCGUGCGUGCAACGUUAAAAUCAAGUAUAUUAAUUGUUAGCAGAUUCACAAAAGCACAAAGGUGCUAAUUGAUUUUGAUGCAGGGUGUAACACGGGCAUUGCUUUGGGUGCAAGUUAUAACACAAACAUUAGUAGAGAAGCAUGGUGUGACAUAGACAUUAGCUUGGAUGCAAGGAUAUGGCAUGUAGAUUUGUUAGCAUUAAUACAAUAUGUACUGUGAGUAUACUCCUUAUGGUGAAGUAUAAUAGUUCUUUUGAACUAUGAUUGUCAGACUAGACAAUGGUGCAAGCAGUUGAGGCUUUUCAAGGAAGUUCAAUGGUUUAGCUAGCUGAGUAUUGAAGAAGACAUUUGUCAGUGAAGUUUGGUGUAGAAGUUCUAUAAUAUCGAAAGACUUCCUAGCAAUAGGUGGCUAGACAACAUGUUCUAUUAGAUGAUGGUAUGUGAAGGUACACUAAAGGUUUGGAGAGCUAGGCAUUUGGUAACAUCGUCAAAGAUACUCAGAAAGACUUAUGCUCAAGAGGAGCAAAACUCUUAUGUGGAGAAGUUGUUAAAGAGAAUUAGACAUUUGGCAAAGUGGAGUCAGAUAUUCGCUAAGGUGAAGAUUAUUGUGUAGAUUUCUCAAUGAGCGAAAUAUUCGUCUAUUUCAAUCAAUGUGAAGAUUGUUAAGAACAUUUGAAAUAUGUUAUUAUAUGAAGUUCCACAUUGCCUAGUAUUAGAAUAGAGUAGAAUAUUAAUAUUAUAUAUUGAAAUCAUGUCUCUUGUUAUUAAGUGCACCAGAUAGAAGUACCAAAUAGAAACACUCUAUGGGCAUUGGGGUCCAUGGAUGUGGUGGAGCUUAUAAUCCUUAUUUUCUAAUAAUAUUUUGGUAGCCGCUCAAUGCUCUUGGGAAUAUAGGCACAAUUGGUCAAACCUUCUUGUUUCUUCUCUUUUAUUUAUUCUAUGCACUUUAUUUGAUUGUUUGUGACCAACAGUACACAAUGAUAACUUCCGCUGCACCAACACUUAGUAUGAAAGCAACCUAACAUAAUUAAAGAUGAGCAGCUUAACAAAACAAAAACAUAAGCAAAUUUAUCACACCAAUCAUGCAUAACUCCUAUUAAACCACGGUCAUAUAGAAGUAUAGAACCAGUAAUGUGUUGAAUCCACUAACAGGAAGGAUAUUCAUAACCCAGAAGUCAUUCUGAAGAUUAUGCAGUGUUGUAGCAAACCUGCAUUUAUCAAAAUAAAGUUACCUCAUAAGACACACAUAGGUAACUGCAAAGCUAUCUUCAUUGUUUAAAAAUGUUAUUAUAGUCCAUAUUGCAUACUAGAUAACUAUUGUUAGGAGGGUGAACGAUUUCACCAUUAAAAUUUAGAAUCACUAAAUCACUAGAAUACUUUCAUCUAAAGAAUCGAAUUGAGGAAACUAGCUAGGAAUUCAAUAACAAAUUCAAAAGUUUCAAAGAAAUAAGCAGUAGAGAUUCUUGCAAGAAAGAAAAGAAGAUACAAGAAGAUUUUAUGAAGAAUUGUCAAAAUGUCAAAAAUGUCAAGUAAUUUGCUUAACAAGUUACUUACACAAAAGUCCCAACACUAACUAACUUUCUCUCCCAUUAACUAACUAUACUAUUACAAUUAUGCCCUUAAUAUUGCUCCUCCCAUACAAAAAUUGUUGCCCUCAAGAAUCGAAUUGAGGAAACUGCUAAGAGAAAUCAAAACAAAACUCUGAUGGAAGUAGAAGAGCUUCUUCUUUUCUGGAAAGAGAAAUUGUAUAACCUACACAAAGAACAUUAAAGGAAGUAAAAGAGCAUAUGGAACAUCGAAUGGUAGAGAAAAUUGAGAAAUGCAUGGUGGAGCUUGCAGAUGAAAUUCAAAAGACAUUGGCAGAAUCAUUGAGAAAUACAAGGAGGAACUUAUGAAAAGGAACAAGCAAGAUUCAGAAAGAUCACCCAAGAAUAGAAGCUUUAAUUCUAAUGAACAAGAAUGUAAACAAGGUGUUCAAUGCUUUGUUCCAGAUGAAUAAAAAUCUCAAUUCCUCACACUUCGCUUCUGAAAUUGCACUGUCUAGAGUUGAUUUUCCUAGGUUUAGUGGGGAAAAUGUUUAAGUCUUAGAUAAAUCAAUGUGAAACUUAUUUUAUGUGUAAUGGAACACUUGAGGAGUUUAAAGUAGAAUUAGGCAAUGCCUAUUUUGAAGGAAAAACAUUACAAUGGUAGGAUGUUUUUAAAUCUAAUUGGAAUAGUGUUUGGCUUAAAUGGGAUGAAUAUGUGAAAAUUUUGGUUAAACAGUAUAGAAAGCUGAAUGAUGAUACUAUUGUGGAACUAAUGAAUUUGAGAUAGAAAAUAUCAAUAAUGAAGAUUUCAAUACAAUCAUCACAAAAUUACAUUUGUCAAAAAUGUCAAGUAACUUGCUUAACAAGCUACUUAUACAAGAGUCUUACCAUUAAUUAACUUUCCCUCCCAUUAACUAUAUUAUUACAAUUAUGCUCUCAACAUUUGUAGCACUGUUGGGCUUUUAUUUACCAUAAACCAGAUUUUAGGUGAUGUUUAUUCAUCCAUUGUUUGGAAUUUUCACUUAAACAAAAAUCAUAUAUAUGCUCAUAGCCUCAUAGUAUUCUUGUCCUUUGUGUUAUUGUGUAUGUUAAAAGAAAUGAGAAUGCUAAGACUUGAAGUAUUGAAAAUGAGAAUUUUGCAUUACAAAAUGAGUAAUUGGUGUGGUGCCCACAAAGAUAUAAAACUAACAUCCUAGUCACCCUCCAUCAUAUCAAAAGAUAUGUUGUAUUUAUUUAGCCCUCAUACAAUUUUAUUUCACACAAUCACUAUAAAAGUCACAUCUAAGCAACAACCGUGAAAGGGACCAAGAAUUUAUUGCACACCAAACUUAUUCUUCAUUUUUUUUCACUUGAUAGAUAACAUUUUUCUCCUAGCAGAGAACAAUGUUGUUGUUGUUUUACUCUUCCAUGCGGAUAAGGCACCUUAUACCCUCCCCUUUUAGCAUGUACUCAAAUGCUUUAUUAAUCUCUGAGAAUGGAAUUGAGUGAGUGAUAAAUUUCUCCACUUCCAGCUCCUGCAUCAUUAAUCAUUAACACAAAGCACUUACUGUCAUCAUAUGCUAUCAUAAAAUAAUUGUACUACUAAAUGUAUCUCCUCAAUCUAAGGGUAAGUAUGUAAAUCCCUUUCGAGUGUAUGUUUUUUCUUCCAAACAAGUGUCAUCCCCAUAAAUCAAAUUUUUAAUGUUUUAUUCUUUAUGAGAUCUAGUGUAACCUUGCACUACUAUACCAACGACUUGUUGGUAUACACUAUCAAAAUUGAAACAUGAGACCACUCUCUAAUAUUAGUAUCUCUAUGAUCACCUUGUUCAUGCACUUCUCCACAACAGAAGGAAGAUCCGUGCGGGGUUUGUAGUUACCAAAGAAGGUACCCUUAAGAGUUCUCCCAUCCAAGAAAUUCAUAGGAUGAGUUUUAAAUUCGGCAUCUUUUUUCGGCACACCAACAAGAACAGCAACACCCCAUCCCUGACAAGCAGCAUUUCAAAUGAAAAUUUAAUAAUAAUAAUAAACAGGUUAAGAUAAUAUAUGUUGUGUUCAAGUAACAAGGAUUUAGGACAAUACAUCAUGAACACAUUCAAAUGCAGCAAUGGAAGCUUGGAUGUUUCCAGUACAUUCAACAGCGCGAUCUACUCCUCCAUUAGUCAUCUCAGCAAUGAUCUUUCUCACCAAUUAAAUUUCAAUUAUCAUAGCAAAAAAGAGCAUAUUAGUUCUUGCCAUCCAAAUAUGAAUGUAAUAUCUAUGCACUGCUUAUAAAUAUUUAGACACACUCAAUAUUUCAUUCAUCAUUCAUUUGCAUAUAAAACUCGCAUUGCCCGGUGCAUACAUUUUUGUUUCUCUCAAAAUAUAUGAACACAAUUAAAUACUACAGGUAAAGCAAUACAAGAAUAAUAAUUUGUGGACAUAUGGUAGGUUAGAUCAUUAGACUUCACUAGUUAACUGUCUUUGGAGUAUGAACUAACCUGUUGUACAGGUUUGUUAUGAUCUUUAGGAUUCACAAAGUCAGUGACACCAAACUUUUUGGCUGACCAAAAAGAGAGAAAAAAGAAGAAAUUUUCAUCAGCAAGUAUAGCAAUAUAAUUAGAUUUUUGACUUUUGAGUAAGAUCUUAAUUAGAGUGAAAUAUCUACCUUCCUCAAAUCGGUUCGGAACUAAAUCAACCCCGAUGAUUCUAGAUACACCUGAAAGCCUUGCCCCUUCAGCAGCCUAAAAUGCCAUAUUUCAAGGUAAAAGAUAUAGUCUUACAUUCUUAAUUUUGUUGAAGGACAAAGAAUAAUGAAUGAAGAACAUACAGCAAGACCAACAGCUCCAAGUCCAAAGACAGCAAAAGAAGAAUCGGGCUUUGGUUUUGCAACAUUUACAGUAGCACCAAAACCUGCAUGAAUUGAACAAAAUUAUUAUAUUUUAAACAAAAAAAAGUCACAUUGACCAGAACAAGUUAUGCAUAGGCAGCAUAACCACUAUUAGAUAUAACCAAUCAAAUAUUUGAUUAGUCAUAAAAAUAACAAUCUAAAAACAACAUAACUGUUAAUACAAUUAAUUUAAGAUAUCUUCAACUUAUGAUUGAAAUGAUUCACUGUACUUCAAGUCACUAACUUUGAGUGAUAUGUACUGUUGGAUUAAAACUCAAACGGCUUAGAUUCCAAUUUAUGUUUUGAUUUAACUUUUUGAGAACAAGACCUAAGUUGUUUGAUCUUCAUUCAACCAUAAAGAUCAAUCAAAGUCGUCGCAUAUCUUGGUUGCGUUGUAGUAUAUAUUAUUACAAACCUGUGCAGAAUCCGCAGCUGAGAACACAAACUUUGUCAAGUGGAGCAGCAGGGUUGAUCUUUGCAACACAUCCAGCAUGAACAACAGUGUAUUCGCUGAAUGUAGAGGUUCCGACGAAAUGGUAAAUGGGCUGUCCAUUUUUCGAAAAUCUAGUUUUUCCAUCAUUGAGCAUAACACCUCUAUCUGUGUUGAUUCUGAGUAGCUCGCACAAGUUGCUCUCAUCUGACUUGCAAUGUGCACAUUCUCCGCACUCUCCAGUGAACACAGGGAGGGCAUGGUCCCCGGGUUUGAGAUCAGUCACACCCUCACCUAUGCUCUCCACAAUCCUAACACAAUAAUGUACAUCAUCACAAUUACAGUGUAUAAGGACUAUUUGGUCAAAAUAGUUACAAGAGAGUAUAUAUGUGUGUGUUAUUUAAAGGGAAAAUUGAAUGUAUCCUUAGCUAAAUAGGAAAUGAAACCUAAGGCAAAGGGUACACGAGAAAACAGAAUUUAUGAUCAACUAAAAAAGGGUGGUAGAUGUAUACAGUGUAACACUCGCAAGCGGAAAUGCUAUAUCAGGACAUUUAUGAUUAACCAUUAGUAACAAAUAUAUUUAUUAAGAAACGUACCCUGCAGCUUCAUGACCUAGUAUGCGGGGAAAUAAUGGAUUCUGGCCCUGAAAUUGAAAAGGAUAAAGCAGGUGAGGAGCAUCAAAAGCAAAUUCAUAUAUCCGAAGUGACCCUAUGAUCACUAGGAACAACAAUUUCCCCAAUACCGGAGAAGGGAGUUCUUGUUUUUUCUUUCAAUUUCAACGGCAAAAGUGUUAUUUCAUUGUAAAUAAAAGGUUUAAAGUGUGAUAGCAUGUUAUUUCAUUGUAAAUUACAUUUUGUACAUUUCAUGUUCAUAAAUUCUUAGAAUCUAAAUGAUUGAAAUCUUGUGUACAACAUUUUUAGACAACAUCAGGAUAAUAUUUGAUUUAGGUGAAUUUGGAUCAACAUUGAAACAUUACUUAUCUUAAGAUAGGGUAGAUAAAUAUAUAUAAAUCUUUGUAGUAUCAAAUUUUGUUCAUUGCAAAAAUAAGAACAUGACUCAAUCAUGUUACCUUGGCCUCCCACCAGUAAACAUCUGUACGGCAAAGAGAAUUGUAGAGGAUCUUCAAACGGACUUCACCGCGCUGUGGCGGCGCAACCUCGACUUCUUCUAUCACUAGUGGCUUCCCUGCCUCCCACGCCACCGCAGCUGCAUUAUUUUACAGGUAAUUAACAACUACUUAAGGCAAUUAAUUUGUAACAUAAGGUAGGCAUUUAUAAUGCAUAGCACAACAAAUGAAAUAUCAUGAAAUAAUGUAAAGUCUAGUAUACAUAUAGUUUAAGAAAAUGAAGAAAUUUGCAGCUAGCAAAUUUAAUACAUCAUGGCUCACCUCUGCACUUGAUGACCUUACCAACCUUGCUAGACAUGGCUACUAAGUAAGGAAUAUUAUGAAUCAAGUGAUGAUGAGUGUGUUAUGGUUCUGCCUUAGGGGAUUCUAUUUAUAUUGACAAAGUUAUUAAGCAUUUAGAAAAACCACCAUUAGUUUUACACUACAGAAUCUGAGCAGAUAGCUUUUCUUAACCUUUUCCUUUUUCUUGUAAUUACAAAAAAUAGGGUGAGUUGUGAAGCAACGGUAAGAUUGUUCUUUAGUCAUUAAGAAGUAACGAGUUCAAAUCUUGGACAUGGUCUCUCUUAUUGCAGAGGUAGGGCCAUAAGGGUGCAUCUAACCUCUUCAGGCUCUACUAAAUGAGAGUCUUGUCUCGUGCACGGGACCAUUCUGCAAAAGGGUGUGUCUUAGCGCAAUAGUAAGGUUGUUAUUUAGUAACCAAGAGAUCAUAAUCUUAAAAACAACAUAUUAUCUUUUACGAUAAUGUUGCACACAAUACUCACUAUGUGAGAGUCUAGUCAUCUAGUGCAUUGGGCCAUAUUUCUCUUGUAAUGACAAUAUGAGUUACACUAUACUCCAAUCUACCUGAGCUAUUGAAGUGUUUUUUUCUUUUGAUUCUUCUUGAGUGUCCAUGCUGAUAACAUCUGUAAUGCUAGUUGUUUGUAGCAUAUCAUGCCACGCAUGCACUUAAAUGACUAAUCUCCAAAACCACCUCUUAAAUAGAUGCUAUAUACAGCAAAAAGAUAUGAAAAGAAAGCAAGAAAACAAGAGUGUGUUAGUGUAUAAAUUGUUUGAACAAUAUUAAACAUUCUUGUUAGUUUCUACAAGAUGGUUCAUGGGUUUUCCUUGGACACAUUAUCCUCCCAAGGUUUCUUUCUAGGGUGGUAUUGCUUACCUGGUUUUAAAUAAGAGCAUAGCCUUCAAAGUGGUUUUUUCAUUUUUCAUUUUCUAGUGUCCAUUUUGUAAGGUUUUUAAUUUUCCAUAAUAGCCUUGAGACGUAUUAAGCUUCUCCAUCUAUUAUUGCAUGGUUUUCGAGAUUAGAUACAAAUCUGAACCCAAUAUUAGACUCUCCAAUUGGAAGAGAAUUUCAACCCAUUUAGCUUAUUUUCUCAAAUUAAGAGCUUAUUUGUCAAGUGGAUGGUUGUUUGAUUGUGAUUUAUAGUUUUUAGUGUGCAUAUAUGUAUAUUACGUUGUUGGGUUUGGAAUCAUUUGUGCUUAGUGUUGCUUAAUUGAUUUUACCUAAGAAAAGAUAAUCUCUCCAAGUGGUUUUGUUGUUUUUCUAUUAAUUGGAAGUUUUAUAUAUUAUUCACUACAACUACAACAUUUACAUGUUAUACCAUUUUCACAGAAAAUAGACAAAUAUGAAAAACAAUUAAGAGUUUAACAAAGCAAUAACACUGAAAACCCAAAAGAACAUGGUUAUCAAUUUCAUACAGUUUAAGCUAAAACACACAGUCCCCUCAUUUCAGCGCAAAAACAAAAGAAAGAAAAAAGAAAAAAAUGCAAUUUUGAGCAAUGAAAUGUAUGUAGUUUAGGACUCUUACAAAUAGAAAAGUGAUUUGAACCUAACACCAAGAUGCUAUGGAGGCACAAAAUUGAGUAAAUAAUUAAAUAUGCACAUGCCAGAUUUUGUUUUAACAUUCGUUAUUAUUUGAGCAUCGAAGAGAUGAGUGAGUGAGAAAUGAAAGAGAAAUAAUAGGGAAAAGAGAGAGAAAGAAGAGGGAACUUACAGUGAUAGUUAAGUAAUGGAAAUGGAGAGAAAAUAGAAGAUGGUGAAGUUCUAUUUUGUAGAUGCAGAGUGCAGUUGCAGAAGAAACUCCUUUUUCUUUCUCUCUCUAAAACUCUAUCGUUUGGCGUUUUAUCUGAAAAGAAUUUCAAACACCGGUCAUUUGUUUUUUCCUUCUUUAGUCUCCAGGUCUUGUGUUUUCUCCUCGAUUGUAUUUAUAAGGUGUAUAACGAAACGAAUCAACUCGAUAUUUAUUUGAAAUAAACAAAUCUAAUCGGGGUUAAGUAAGUAUACAAGUUCAUAAGCUGACUCGAUUAUAUAUACAUAUAGAGAGCUUCUUGGUUUAUACAUAUAGACUUUGAACUUAAGAACGAUAUCAAUCGAGCUAAUGAGUUAAAGUAAACAUUUCGCAAACUCCUAACGAAUUAAACCUAUUUUGGGUUGAUGGUAAAUCAAAAUGAAUAGUUCAUGAACUCAAAUUGAAUCAAGCAAGAAAACUAGCUUAUAUUAAAAUCUAGUGGAAAUUUGAGUUGAAUCAAUUCUUAUCGAGCUGAACAUGUCAGCUUGGUUAGGCUCGUUUAUAGAACCACCAAAUAAGUCUAAAAACAUCAAUCUCCCACAUAGUAGCCUAUGUGCCUCCACCACUCAAACAUCUAUAUUAAUUAUAGGACAAAGAGAUUUAAUUUUUUUUACAACAUAACCUAUAAGAUGGACUGAGAUUGUUAGGAAUAGACCUAUCUUUGAAAAGAAAAAUGUAACUUUGGUUUGUUGGAGCCACAUUGCUGGCAGUAAAUGAGAUUUCAGGUAGACUACCAUCUUCUGGUUGCAUGAGCCAAUAUAUGGUCUCUUAGUUAUUAAUACAAUUGAACAAUUCAGAAGCACUUUUCAUAUCUUAAUAUCUUCUAGUUUGCAUAGGUACCCUCAGCUACAUCAUUAUGAGAAUUCACCCAUUCCAUUGCAGUUUCAUGAUGCAUGAGAUAUUACACCAUUGCCUGAUAGAAAUAAAUAAUUUGUCAAACACUUACAAUGGGAGGUACAGAUUGAGAAAGAAAUACAUCUUAUUAACUUUGAAUCCUAACAUCAUGAUCUCAACUGUUCUCAUGCAUGGUGACAGGAGAGUGAGUCGGGCAGUAGCUGGCUCGGGGUGUUCUGGUUGGGUUGAGCUGAGUCUGGGUCGGUAGUGGUCGGGCUGGAAUGCUUUCUGGAGUCGCCUGAGUUGAGCUUGGACCUGUUGGUGGAGGUACGUGAAAAGGUGAUCCGGAGAUCAAGUUAGUAAGUGACUGAGGGAGAGAAUAAUAGCUCAAGGUAUGAGCAAUAAGUAUGUGUUAAUGUCAAGAGAUAGAGAACAUGGUCUAAGAUAUGAGAAUAAGUAAUAUUUCCUUAUGGGGUGAGUCCCCUAUUUAUAGUGGGGGAUAUAUGUAAUAUUCUUUGACUGGUGUUGUUGGCAUGACCGACCAUUGGGACUUGUCGGUCUGUUCUGGCUUAUUAGGAGGCUACUUUAUACUUGUCGGGUGGCCCACCCAUACCGUAUUCUGAGUAUGGUUGACUGAUAGCUUGUUCUAGGCUUUGUAGCUGUAGUUUAAGCAUGUCCUUGCUGUAGAGUAGGGAGUUAGCUGAGAACUACAUGUGACAUGUAACAAGUGUCGACAGCGUGACAAAUGGAUGACAGAGGUUUGGUCCCAUUACUCACUCGUGGGAUGGUAUUGGGUAAGAUAUGUCUCCUAGUAGUUCGAUUGGUUGGCUCGUACCAUGGACCCUUGUAACAUAAGUUCUUGUCAGGUAUUCAGGCUUGCUCAGCCUUGAGUAAUCCAACCCGGUCAAAGGGGAAGUUGUUUGACCAUGAUGGAGCACAACUCAAAUAGGUAACACUAAACUAUAUAUAUUCACAUAUCACCUUUAACAAUCACUAAGGAGCAUAACAUGUAUGUUUGUAUAGAACAGUAAUCAGUAAUCAAAAAGUGGUAUCAAUCCCAAAACCAGUUGGUAUCAGUCCCAAAACCAGUUCAAAUUCAUAAUAGCAUAAAACAAUGUGAAUGCUAAAUAUAGGUUAAAACUGUUUCAACCAAUUUCUAGAUGUUAUAUAUUAUAUUCAGGUUCAUUGUUAUUAAGUGCACCAAAUAGAAGCACCAAAUAGAAACAACUCAUGGGCACUUAGGCCCAUGAGUGUGGUAGAGCUUGUAAUCAUUAUUCUAUAAUAAUAUCAAUGCUCCUGGGAAGUAGACACAAUUGACCGAACCUCGUUACCAAAUUCUUUUGUUUCUUUUCUUCUAUUUAUUCUAUGCACUCUAUUUGUCUGCUGCACCAACAAUUGAUAUCAGAGCUAAUUGGUAGAUGGCUCUUAACCUAGGCACCAAAUUAUGGCUAAAGAGGGUGAAAGCAUGUUGAUUGGACAAGGUCUAUUAAAGGUAAUGCACGAGGAUAAAGUCAAAGAUGAGUUGAAGGAGAAGGAAACAUGGUGGGACCAUAGUUGUGUUGGAUCCAGCACCACAGAAGUCCACGUAUUGGAUUGAGACCAAGAUGAAGAUAAAGACAAAGGUGAUUGGUUAGAUGCUAACAAUAUCUCUCUAGAUGUUGAGAGAAUGAUCUCGUUUGAGAUGAAAAGUGGAAUUCCUAAUGGCGUGCGUGCAACGUUAAAAUCAAGUAUAUUAAUUGUUAGCAGAUUCACAAAAGCACAAAGGUGCUAAUUGAUUUUGAUGCAGGGUGUAACACGGGCAUUGCUUUGGGUGCAAGUUAUAACACAAACAUUAGUAGAGAAGCAUGGUGUGACAUAGACAUUAGCUUGGAUGCAAGGAUAUGGCAUGUAGAUUUGUUAGCAUUAAUACAAUAUGUACUGUGAGUAUACUCCUUAUGGUGAAGUAUAAUAGUUCUUUUGAACUAUGAUUGUCAGACUAGACAAUGGUGCAAGCAGUUGAGGCUUUUCAAGGAAGUUCAAUGGUUUAGCUAGCUGAGUAUUGAAGAAGACAUUUGUCAGUGAAGUUUGGUGUAGAAGUUCUAUAAUAUCGAAAGACUUCCUAGCAAUAGGUGGCUAGACAACAUGUUCUAUUAGAUGAUGGUAUGUGAAGGUACACUAAAGGUUUGGAGAGCUAGGCAUUUGGUAACAUCGUCAAAGAUACUCAGAAAGACUUAUGCUCAAGAGGAGCAAAACUCUUAUGUGGAGAAGUUGUUAAAGAGAAUUAGACAUUUGGCAAAGUGGAGUCAGAUAUUCGCUAAGGUGAAGAUUAUUGUGUAGAUUUCUCAAUGAGCGAAAUAUUCGUCUAUUUCAAUCAAUGUGAAGAUUGUUAAGAACAUUUGAAAUAUGUUAUUAUAUGAAGUUCCACAUUGCCUAGUAUUAGAAUAGAGUAGAAUAUUAAUAUUAUAUAUUGAAAUCAUGUCUCUUGUUAUUAAGUGCACCAGAUAGAAGUACCAAAUAGAAACACUCUAUGGGCAUUGGGGUCCAUGGAUGUGGUGGAGCUUAUAAUCCUUAUUUUCUAAUAAUAUUUUGGUAGCCGCUCAAUGCUCUUGGGAAUAUAGGCACAAUUGGUCAAACCUUCUUGUUUCUUCUCUUUUAUUUAUUCUAUGCACUUUAUUUGAUUGUUUGUGACCAACAGUACACAAUGAUAACUUCCGCUGCACCAACACUUAGUAUGAAAGCAACCUAACAUAAUUAAAGAUGAGCAGCUUAACAAAACAAAAACAUAAGCAAAUUUAUCACACCAAUCAUGCAUAACUCCUAUUAAACCACGGUCAUAUAGAAGUAUAGAACCAGUAAUGUGUUGAAUCCACUAACAGGAAGGAUAUUCAUAACCCAGAAGUCAUUCUGAAGAUUAUGCAGUGUUGUAGCAAACCUGCAUUUAUCAAAAUAAAGUUACCUCAUAAGACACACAUAGGUAACUGCAAAGCUAUCUUCAUUGUUUAAAAAUGUUAUUAUAGUCCAUAUUGCAUACUAGAUAACUAUUGUUAGGAGGGUGAACGAUUUCACCAUUAAAAUUUAGAAUCACUAAAUCACUAGAAUACUUUCAUCUAAAGAAUCGAAUUGAGGAAACUAGCUAGGAAUUCAAUAACAAAUUCAAAAGUUUCAAAGAAAUAAGCAGUAGAGAUUCUUGCAAGAAAGAAAAGAAGAUACAAGAAGAUUUUAUGAAGAAUUGUCAAAAUGUCAAAAAUGUCAAGUAAUUUGCUUAACAAGUUACUUACACAAAAGUCCCAACACUAACUAACUUUCUCUCCCAUUAACUAACUAUACUAUUACAAUUAUGCCCUUAAUAUUGCUCCUCCCAUACAAAAAUUGUUGCCCUCAAGAAUCGAAUUGAGGAAACUGCUAAGAGAAAUCAAAACAAAACUCUGAUGGAAGUAGAAGAGCUUCUUCUUUUCUGGAAAGAGAAAUUGUAUAACCUACACAAAGAACAUUAAAGGAAGUAAAAGAGCAUAUGGAACAUCGAAUGGUAGAGAAAAUUGAGAAAUGCAUGGUGGAGCUUGCAGAUGAAAUUCAAAAGACAUUGGCAGAAUCAUUGAGAAAUACAAGGAGGAACUUAUGAAAAGGAACAAGCAAGAUUCAGAAAGAUCACCCAAGAAUAGAAGCUUUAAUUCUAAUGAACAAGAAUGUAAACAAGGUGUUCAAUGCUUUGUUCCAGAUGAAUAAAAAUCUCAAUUCCUCACACUUCGCUUCUGAAAUUGCACUGUCUAGAGUUGAUUUUCCUAGGUUUAGUGGGGAAAAUGUUUAAGUCUUAGAUAAAUCAAUGUGAAACUUAUUUUAUGUGUAAUGGAACACUUGAGGAGUUUAAAGUAGAAUUAGGCAAUGCCUAUUUUGAAGGAAAAACAUUACAAUGGUAGGAUGUUUUUAAAUCUAAUUGGAAUAGUGUUUGGCUUAAAUGGGAUGAAUAUGUGAAAAUUUUGGUUAAACAGUAUAGAAAGCUGAAUGAUGAUACUAUUGUGGAACUAAUGAAUUUGAGAUAGAAAAUAUCAAUAAUGAAGAUUUCAAUACAAUCAUCACAAAAUUACAUUUGUCAAAAAUGUCAAGUAACUUGCUUAACAAGCUACUUAUACAAGAGUCUUACCAUUAAUUAACUUUCCCUCCCAUUAACUAUAUUAUUACAAUUAUGCUCUCAACAUUUGUAGCACUGUUGGGCUUUUAUUUACCAUAAACCAGAUUUUAGGUGAUGUUUAUUCAUCCAUUGUUUGGAAUUUUCACUUAAACAAAAAUCAUAUAUAUGCUCAUAGCCUCAUAGUAUUCUUGUCCUUUGUGUUAUUGUGUAUGUUAAAAGAAAUGAGAAUGCUAAGACUUGAAGUAUUGAAAAUGAGAAUUUUGCAUUACAAAAUGAGUAAUUGGUGUGGUGCCCACAAAGAUAUAAAACUAACAUCCUAGUCACCCUCCAUCAUAUCAAAAGAUAUGUUGUAUUUAUUUAGCCCUCAUACAAUUUUAUUUCACACAAUCACUAUAAAAGUCACAUCUAAGCAACAACCGUGAAAGGGACCAAGAAUUUAUUGCACACCAAACU